GGGGAUAACUACUGGAAACGGUAGCUAAUACCGCAUAACGUCGCAAGACCAAAGAGGGGGACCUUCGGGCCUCUUGCCAUCAGAUGUGCCCAGAUGGGAUUAGCUAGUAGGUGGGGUAACGGCUCACCUAGGCGACGAUCCCUAGCUGGUCUGAGAGGAUGACCAGCCACACUGGAACUGAGACACGGUCCAGACUCCUACGGGAGGCAGCAUG
Molecule: ribosomal RNA, 214 nt
Filed under: uncultured bacterium
Lineage: Bacteria
Description: partial 16S ribosomal RNA
Rfam family: Bacterial small subunit ribosomal RNA
Source: RNAcentral